CCUACGGGAGGCAGCAGUGGGGAAUAUUGCACAAUGGGGGAAACCCUGAUGCAGCGACGCCGCGUGAGUGAAGAAGUAAUUCGUUACGUAAAGCUCUAUCAGCAGGGAAGAAAUACUGACCUUACGGUCAGCAGACGGUACCUGAGUAAGAAGCUCCGGCUAACUACGUGCCAGCAGCCGCGGUAAUACGUAGGGGGCAAGCGUUAUCCGGAUUUACUGGGUGUAAAGGGAGCGUAGACGGUGCGCCAAGUCUGGAGUGAAAGGGGGGGGCUCAACCCCCGUACUGCUCGGGAAACUGUACGGCUGGAGUGCAGGAGAGGUAAGUGGAAUUCCUAGUGUAGCGGUGAAAUGCGUAGAGAUUAGGAGGAACACCAGUGGCGAAGGCGGCUUACUGGACUGUAACUGACGUUGAGGCUCGAAAGCGUGGGGAGCAAACAGGAUUAGAUACCCGAGUAGUC
RNAcentral lists this ribosomal RNA (458 nucleotides) under uncultured bacterium. RNAcentral's name for it is "partial 16S ribosomal RNA". It matches the Rfam family "Bacterial small subunit ribosomal RNA", at positions 338 to 795 of the family's 1533-position model. The record is from RNAcentral.